ACCUGGCUGGCUCAAUCCAGAGAGCAUGUGACUCUUGAUCUCAGCGUUGUGAGUUCAAGCCCCAUGCUGGGUG
This 73-nucleotide transfer RNA is filed under the name Ailuropoda melanoleuca (giant panda). It matches the Rfam family "tRNA". Rfam says of the family: Transfer RNA (tRNA) molecules are approximately 80 nucleotides in length. Their secondary structure includes four short double-helical elements and three loops (D, anti-codon, and T loops). Lineage: Eukaryota; Metazoa; Chordata; Mammalia; Carnivora; Ursidae. The record is from Rfam by way of RNAcentral.